GUGAGCUUCUCCUCAAAAGCAGCAGGGGGCAGAUCCUGGGCUGGUUAAAAAGCAUCUGGAGCCUCUCCUUGCUGUCCCAGGCAGUGAUGGUACGAGUUUCUGCAUGGGAACUACAGCCAUGGCUGUGCUUGGUGCCAUUAGUGUCCCCUUAGCCCUGCCGUUGGGGCUGUUGGAGGCAAGUCCUCGCUCCUGGAGAGUGUGUCAGAAGCUGGCUGUGAGCAGGUGGCUUUGCUUCCCUCUGUGCUGUUCAGGUAUGGCUAUGGAGAGGGGAAUCCUGAGGACACGUAGAUGGUCUGAACUGCAACUGGCACAAGCUGGAGGUUUUUCAUUGUCCAUCUGUGUUUUAUGUCUAAACUCGUUAACAUUUGAUGGUCCUUCCAUACAAAGGCCAGUAAAUGAUACAAAUGGCUGGAAGUUGGAGAGGAUUUACAAGCUCGCCUUUCUGUUUUCCUGUGCAGCAGGAGGUAUAAACACUUCAAAUGUUCUUUCUCCAGGAUCGUUCUCUUCCAAGCACGUGCAAGUGCUUCAUGUGGCUGAAUUUCUUGGGAUGAUGAAGCACCAAAGAUGCUGUUGGGUGCUAAGAUGACAGUUCCAAAAGUGAGCUGGUUCUACAGCUAGGUAUUCAAGUUUAUGUUAAGAGAUACGAGCAUAACUGAGUCCUGACAGCAGGGGAUGCUGAGCGUGUGCCUCACGUCUCUGCCCUGUUGAGAGUCACAACACAGCAGGAGGGAGCUAGAGAAGACAGCAACAUCAGCAAUCUCACAAGUGCCCUGAUCUGCGAGGAGCCUGGAUUCCCAGCGAGGCGUGAAGGGCUACGCAGAGCUGCGGGGGAGAUGGCAGGAUCUGC
Molecule: long non-coding RNA, 847 nt
Organism: Calidris pugnax (ruff)
Lineage: Eukaryota; Metazoa; Chordata; Aves; Charadriiformes; Scolopacidae
Exons: 3
Source: RefSeq, a predicted model, not a curated record